AGGGGCCUCCGUGUGCCAAAAAUAGGCCGCGGGCAAAGCCGCGCCCAAAAAUAACCGCCCGAAGGCCGGGGCGCCAAGUUCGUCCAGCGGAAAAAGGCCACAAAAACGGGUGGGCUAUAGCCUUGGGGGGUGGGUCCGGCCCACUUCGUCCGCCGGAGUCGGAAUGCGGCGAGACUUUGCGAGGGGCCUCCGUGUGCCAAAAAUAGGCCGCGGGCAAAAAUAACCGCCCGAAGUCCGGGGCGCCAAGUUCGUCCAGCGGAAAAAGGCCACAAAAACGAGUGGGCUAUAGCCUUGGGGGGUGGGGCUGGCCAACUUCGUCUGCCGGACUCGGAAUGCCGCGAGACUUUACGAGGGGUCUCCGUGUGCCAAAAAUAGGCCGCGGACAAAGCCGUGCCCAAAAAUAACCGCCCGAAGGCCGGGGGGCAAAGUUCGUCCAGCGGAAAAAGGCCACAAAAACGGGUGGGCUAUAGCCUUGGGGGGUGGGGCUGGCCAACUUCGUCCGCCGGACUCGGAAUGCCGCGAGACUUUGCGAGGGGCCUCCGUGUGCCAAAAAUAGGUCGCCGGCAAAGCCGCGCCCAAAAAUAACCGCCCGAAGGCCGGGGCGCCAAGUUCGUCCAGCGGAAAAAGGCCACAAAAACGGGUGGGCUAUAGUCUUGGGGGGUGGGGCUGGCCAACUUCGUCCGCCGGACUCGGAAUGCCGCGAGACUUUGCGAGGAGCCUCCGUGUGCCAAAAAUAGGCCGUAGGCAAACCCGCACCCAAAAAUAACUGCCCAAAGGCCGGGGCGCCAAGUUCGUGCAGCGGAAAAAGGCCACAAAAACGGGUGGGCUAUAGCCUUGGGGGGUGGGGCUGGCCAACUUCGUCCGCCGGACUCGGAAUGCCGCGAGACUUUGCGCGGGGCCUCCGUGUGCCAAAAAUAGGCCGCGGCCAAAGCCGCGCCCAAAAAUAACCGCCCGAAGGGCGGGGCGCCAAGUUCGUCCAGCGGAAAAAGGCCACAAAUACGGGUGGGCUAUAGCCUUGGGGGGUGGGGCGGGCCGACUUCGUCCGUCGGACUCGGAAUGCCGCCACACUUUGCGAGGGGCCUCCGUGUGCCAAAAAUAGGCCGCGGGCAAAGCCGCGCCCAAAAUUAACCGCCCGAAGGCCGGGGCACCAAGUUCGUCCAGCGGAAAAAGGCCACAAAAACGGGUGGGCUAUUGCCUUGGGGGGUGAUGCUGGCCAACUUUGUCCGCCGGACUCGUAAUGCCGCGAGACUUUGCGAGGGGCCUCCGU
Molecule: long non-coding RNA, 1267 nt
Filed under: Citrus x clementina
Lineage: Eukaryota; Viridiplantae; Streptophyta; Magnoliopsida; Sapindales; Rutaceae
Description: Citrus clementina (C. clementina) long non-coding RNA (CCLE_LNC000007)
Source: RNAcentral